This 464-nucleotide ribosomal RNA is filed under the name uncultured bacterium. RNAcentral describes it as "partial 16S ribosomal RNA". It matches the Rfam family "Bacterial small subunit ribosomal RNA", at positions 28 to 506 of the family's 1533-position model. The record is from RNAcentral.
GACGAACGCUGGCGGCGUGCUUAACACAUGCAAGUCGAACGGAAAGGCCCUGCUUGCAGGGUACUCGAGUGGCGAACGGGUGAGUAACACGUGGGUGAUCUGCCCUGCACUUCGGGAUAAGCCUGGGAAACUGGGUCUAAUACCGGAUAGGAGCCAUUUUUAGUGUGAUGGUUGGAAAGUUUUUUCGGUGUAGGAUGAGCUCGCGGCCUAUCAACUUGUUGGUGGGGUAAUGGCCUACCAAGGCGGCGACGGGUAGCCGGCCUGAGAGGGUGGACGGCCACAUUGGGACUGAGAUACGGCCCAGACUCCUACGGGAGGCAGCAGUGGGGAAUAUUGCACAAUGGGCGCAAGCCUGAUGCAGCGACGCCGCGUGGGGGAUGACGGCCUUCGGGUUGUAAACUCCUUUCGCUAGGGACGAAGCUUUUUGUGACGGUACCUAGAUAAGAAGCACCGGCUAACUACGU